This 753-nucleotide ribosomal RNA is filed under the name uncultured Comamonadaceae bacterium. RNAcentral describes it as "bacterial SSU rRNA". It matches the Rfam family "Bacterial small subunit ribosomal RNA", at positions 28 to 776 of the family's 1533-position model. Lineage: Bacteria; Pseudomonadati; Pseudomonadota; Betaproteobacteria; Burkholderiales; Comamonadaceae. The record is from RNAcentral.
AUUGAACGCUGGCGGCAUGCGUUACACAUGCAAGUCGAACGGCAGCACGGGAGCAAUCCUGGUGGCGAGUGGCGAACGGGUGAGUAAUACAUCGGAACGUGCCCAAUCGUGGGGGAUAACGCAGCGAAAGCUGUGCUAAUACCGCAUACGAUCUACGGAUGAAAGCAGGGGAUCGCAAGACCUUGCGCGAAUGGAGCGGCCGAUGGCAGAUUAGGUAGUUGGUGAGGUAAAGGCUCACCAAGCCGUCGAUCUGUAGCUGGUCUGAGAGGACGACCAGCCACACUGGGACUGAGACACGGCCCAGACUCCUACGGGAGGCAGCAGUGGGGAAUUUUGGACAAUGGGCGAAAGCCUGAUCCAGCCAUGCCGCGUGCAGGAUGAAGGCCUUCGGGUUGUAAACUGCUUUUGUACGGAACGAAACGGCCUUUUCUAAUAAAGAGGGCUAAUGACGGUACCGUAAGAAUAAGCACCGGCUAACUACGUGCCAGCAGCCGCGGUAAUACGUAGGGUGCAAGCGUUAAUCGGAAUUACUGGGCGUAAAGCGUGCGCAGGCGGUUAUGUAAGACAGUUGUGAAAUCCCCGGGCUCAACCUGGGAACUGCAUCUGUGACUGCAUAGCUAGAGUACGGUAGAGGGGGAUGGAAUUCCGCGUGUAGCAGUGAAAUGCGUAGAUAUGCGGAGGAACACCGAUGGCGAAGGCAAUCCCCUGGACCUGUACUGACGCUCAUGCACGAAAGCGUGGGGAGCAAACAGG